GACGAACGCUGGCGGCGUGCCUAACACAUGCAAGUCGAACGGGGUAGCAAUACCCGAGUGGCGGACGGGUGCGUAACACGUGAGGAACAUGUCUUUCGGCGGGAGUAGCCGGCCUAACGGCCGGGUAAUACCGCGUACGACGAUUGGGGCGCAUGCCUUGAUCGUGAAAGCAGCAAUGCACCGAUAGAGUGCCUCGCGGCCUAUCAGCUAGUUGGUGAGGUAAUGGCNCACCAAGGCGACGACGGGUAGCUGGUCUGAGAGGAUGAUCAGCCACAUUGGGACUGAGACACGGCCCAGACUCCUACGGGAGGCAGCAGUGGGGAAUAUUGCGCAAUGGCCGCAAGGCUGACGCAGCGACGCCGCGUGUGGGAUGACGGUCUUCGGA
RNAcentral lists this ribosomal RNA (385 nucleotides) under uncultured bacterium. RNAcentral's name for it is "bacterial SSU rRNA". It matches the Rfam family "Bacterial small subunit ribosomal RNA", at positions 28 to 422 of the family's 1533-position model. The record is from RNAcentral.